This 254-nucleotide ribosomal RNA is filed under the name uncultured bacterium. Its description in RNAcentral is "partial 16S ribosomal RNA". It matches the Rfam family "Bacterial small subunit ribosomal RNA", at positions 524 to 776 of the family's 1533-position model. The record is from RNAcentral.
UACGAAGGGGGCUAGCGUUAUUCGGAAUCACUGGGCGUAAAGGGCGCGUAGGUGGUUGGGUCAGUCUGGUGUGAAAACGCUACCGCUCAACGGAGCGACUGCGCCGGAUACUGCUCAACUUGAGUACGACAGAGGUCAGUGGAAUGCCUGGUGUAGCGGUGGAAUGCUCAGAUAUCAGGCAGAACACCUGUGGCGAAGGCGACUGACUGGGUCGUUACUGACGCUGAGGCGCGAAAGCGUGGGGAGCAAACAGG